AAUCAACGCUGGCGGCGUGCCUCAGACAUGCAAGUCGAACGCUGCUGAUUGCCCUUCGGGGCGGUCAGCGGAGUGGCGCACGGGUGAGUAACACGUAGGUAAUCUACCUUUGGGUGGGGAAUAACAGCCGGAAACGGCUGCUAAUACCGCAUAAUGCAGCGGCACCACAUGGUGACAGUUGUUAAAGCGGGGGAUCGUAAGACCUCGCGCCUGAAGAGGAGCCNGCGGCGGGAUUAGCUUGUUGGUGAGGUAAUGGCUCACCAAGGCGACGAUCCGUAGCCGGCCUGAGAGGGCGGUCGGCCACACUGACACUGACAUACGGGUCAGACUCCUACGGGAGGCAGCAGUCGGGAAUUUUGGGCAAUGGGCGCAAGCCUGACCCAGCAACGCCGCGUGAAGGAUG
RNAcentral lists this ribosomal RNA (403 nucleotides) under uncultured bacterium. RNAcentral describes it as "bacterial SSU rRNA". It matches the Rfam family "Bacterial small subunit ribosomal RNA", at positions 32 to 410 of the family's 1533-position model. The record is from RNAcentral.